GCGGCAGCGGUGUAAUUGUCGAUCACGAAUGGAAAAUCCGAGUGCAUAUCAGGAUCUACCAAGGUAAACCAGAAUUGGUUAAAGGCAUGAAAGGUCUCUGUCGACUGCGAAUACAAUUCAACUGAAGGAUGUGUCCUUAGCUGUCAGUCGAUGAGUCAAAUUAAUUCUAUCACUGGCGAACCAAUAUUGAGCGAGGACGAUCUGAACAAUAUGGGAUUUUAUACCCCAAAGCGCAAAUCAGAUGACGAUUUGCCUAAUCCC
Molecule: long non-coding RNA, 261 nt
Organism: Cotesia glomerata
Lineage: Eukaryota; Metazoa; Arthropoda; Insecta; Hymenoptera; Braconidae
Exons: 2
Source: RefSeq, a predicted model, not a curated record